RNAcentral lists this ribosomal RNA (396 nucleotides) under uncultured bacterium. RNAcentral's name for it is "partial 16S ribosomal RNA". It matches the Rfam family "Bacterial small subunit ribosomal RNA", at positions 338 to 731 of the family's 1533-position model. The record is from RNAcentral.
CCUACGGGAGGCAGCAGUGAGGAAUAUUGGUCAAUGGACGCAAGUCUGAACCAGCCAUGCCGCGUGCAGGAAGACGGCUCUAUGAGUUGUAAACUGCUUUUGUACGAGGGUAAACGCAGAUACGCGUAUCUGUCUGAAAGUAUCGUACGAAUAAGGAUCGGCUAACUCCGUGCCAGCAGCCGCGGUAAUACGGAGGAUUCAAGCGUUAUCCGGAUUUAUUGGGCUUAAAGGGUACGUAGGCGGUCGGUUAAGUUAGAGGUGAAAUCCCGGGGCUCAACUUGGGAAUUGCCUCUGAUACUGUGCGGCUAGAGAGUAGUAGAGGUAGGCAGAAUGUAGGGUGUAGCGGUGAAAUGCUUAGAGAUCAUACAGAAAACCGAUGGCGAAGGCAGCGUACCA